Molecule: RNA transcript, 2569 nt
Organism: Orcinus orca (killer whale)
Lineage: Eukaryota; Metazoa; Chordata; Mammalia; Artiodactyla; Delphinidae
Gene: DLD
Gene name: dihydrolipoamide dehydrogenase
Exons: 15
Source: RefSeq, a predicted model, not a curated record
CGUAGGCCGCGCUCGUGCAUGCGCAGCGCGGGGAGACCUUGGCGAGGCGGCGGAGAAGCUUAGUGGAGGUGAAAGCUUUUGGCGGAAAGGAAAGUCCAGCGGCAAGAUGCAGAGCUGGAGUCGUGUGUACCGUUCUUUGGCUAAGAGAGGCCAUUUCAAUCGAAUAUCUCAUGGUCUGCAAGGAGUUUCUGCAGUGCCACUGAGAACUUAUGCAGAUCAACCAAUUGAUGCUGAUGUAACAGUGAUAGGUUCUGGUCCUGGAGGAUAUGUUGCUGCUAUUAAAGCUGCCCAGUUAGGCUUCAAGGCCGUCUGCGUUGAGAAAAAUGAGACACUCGGUGGAACAUGCUUGAACGUUGGUUGUAUUCCUUCUAAGGCUUUAUUGAAUAACUCUCAUUAUUACCAUAUGGCCCAUGGAAAAGAUUUUGCAUCUAGAGGAAUUGAAAUGUCUGAAGUUCGCUUGAAUUUAGAGAAGAUGAUGGAGCAGAAGAGUAAUGCAGUAAAAGCUUUAACGGGUGGAAUUGCCCACUUAUUCAAACAGAAUAAGGUUGCUCAUGUAAAUGGAUAUGGAAAGAUAACUGGGAAAAAUCAGGUCACCGCUACGAAAGCCGAUGGCAGCACUCAAGUUAUUGAUACAAAGAACAUUCUUAUAGCCACAGGUUCAGAAGUCACUCCUUUUCCUGGAAUUACGAUUGAUGAAGAUACAGUAGUGUCAUCUACAGGUGCUUUGUCUUUAAAAAAAGUUCCAGAAAAGAUGGUUGUCAUUGGUGCAGGAGUAAUAGGUGUAGAAUUGGGCUCAGUUUGGCAAAGACUUGGUGCAGACGUGACAGCAGUUGAGUUUUUGGGUCAUGUUGGUGGAAUUGGAAUUGAUAUGGAGAUAUCUAAAAACUUUCAGCGCAUCCUUCAAAAACAAGGAUUUAAAUUUAAAUUGAAUACCAAAGUUACUGGUGCUACUAGGAAGCCAGAUGGAAAAAUUGAUGUUUCUAUUGAAGCUGCUUCUGGUGGUAAAGCUGAAGUUAUCACUUGUGAUGUACUCCUGGUUUGCAUUGGCCGACGACCCUUUACUAAGAAUUUGGGACUAGAGGAGCUUGGAAUUGAGCUGGAUCCUAGAGGUAGAAUUCCAGUAAAUACCAGAUUCCAAACUAAAAUUCCAAAUAUCUAUGCAAUCGGCGAUGUGGUUGCUGGUCCAAUGCUGGCUCACAAAGCAGAGGAUGAAGGCAUUAUCUGUGUUGAAGGGAUGGCUGGUGGCGCUGUGCACAUUGACUACAAUUGUGUACCAUCGGUGAUUUACACACACCCUGAAGUUGCUUGGGUUGGCAAAUCAGAAGAGCAGUUGAAAGAAGAGGGUAUUGAGUACAAAGUUGGGAAAUUCCCAUUUGCUGCUAACAGCAGAGCUAAGACAAACGCUGACACAGAUGGCAUGGUGAAGAUACUUGGGCAGAAAUCAACAGACAGAGUAUUGGGAGCACAUAUUCUAGGACCAGGUGCUGGUGAAAUGAUAAAUGAAGCUGCUCUUGCACUGGAAUAUGGAGCAUCCUGUGAAGAUAUAGCUAGAGUCUGUCAUGCACAUCCGACCUUAUCAGAAGCUUUUAGAGAAGCAAACCUGGCUGCAUCAUUUGGGAAAUCGAUCAACUUUUAAAUUAGAAGAUUAUAUUUUUCUGCAAUUUCCUGGGAGCUUUUGUAGAGGUAACAUUUCUGAACAGGAAAUGCUCACAGCUCCAAGAAUUUCUAGGACUGAAUUAUGAAACUUUUGGAAGACUUUGAAGAAAAACACAGCAGCACCACUCAGCUGUGUUGUGGCGGAUGGACUACAGGAGUGAUUCCGAAUGUCUGAUGUAACAUGAGCACAGUUCCAGAGCGUGGAGUACCAGCUCUGUACAUAAGCAGCUUCAAGCCCAUACAAUCCCACAAACUCGAAAGAUGUAAGUGGCUCCAGUGUACAAUUAUGCCUCCCAGCCACCCACCAAAAAUGCUCUCAUGUGAAACUCAGGGAUCUCCUUCAAGAUGGGACAUUCAGAAAGCAAGCCCCACCGCCACCAGGAAGACAGUGGGAGCAACCCAAAGGAGCUUUUCAUACCCGACCCCCUUCAAGCCACGUCUCAUCAAAGGAGCCUCCUCCUUCCACCAACAAAGCAACCCUUUCGUUUUUCCUGAGAAAGAAGGUAGUACCAGUAAGAAUGGAAUAUGAUAACCAUUUAGCUUUCACAAUAUUUCAUUUGGAAUCUAAACCCAGCUGCAUUUUGUUCUGUAUCUUCCUGUCUCCAAAGCUGUACUUUAGGCAUCUAUUUGUAAAUAACUCGUAUAUACAGUGGGCAUGUGUGUAUGUAUCUCAAAGAAAGGAAUAUUUGAGAAGACCUUACCCCUGGGUAUCACCUAACUCAGUAUUAUUGUCGUCUCAGGAAUAUAAUUGUACAAAAAACGGGGAAAAUGCAGAGAUGCUGAAAGGUUGGGGGCCAGUCGAAAAAUGAUGUUUAAGGCUGAGAGAAUACCAUGACCCAACUCAAAGAAAAAGUGCUUAAAAGGGUUUGCGGGUUAAAUUACAUUUAGUAAACCUGAUGGCUCUUUUCCUGAG